This 85-nucleotide transfer RNA is filed under the name Candidatus Poribacteria bacterium. RNAcentral's name for it is "tRNA-Ser". It matches the Rfam family "tRNA". Rfam says of the family: Transfer RNA (tRNA) molecules are approximately 80 nucleotides in length. The record is from RNAcentral. Lineage: Bacteria; Candidatus Poribacteria.
GGUGGGAUGGCUGAGUGGACGAAAGCGGCGGUCUUGAAAACCGUUGUAGCGUAAGCUACCGUGGGUUCGAAUCCUACUCCCACCG